Long non-coding RNA from Camarhynchus parvulus, 833 nucleotides. RefSeq lists it as uncharacterized. The transcript is spliced from 3 exons. The record is from RefSeq and is a predicted model, not a curated record. Lineage: Eukaryota; Metazoa; Chordata; Aves; Passeriformes; Thraupidae.
CUCCCUUUCUCCCGCAGAACCGGCCUGGGGCUUCCGCAGGCGGGAUUACUGGCACUGGCUGGAGCAGCUCCCCGCGGGGACCAGCGGCCGCUGAGCGCCCUGAGCUAGGCUGGGGUGAAAAUCUGAGCUGUGGUGGCGCCUGUCACCAUGAGCGACACGCUCAUCCCAAAGAGCCCAGGCGCAGGGAGCGCGCUCCGGUGUGCGGCCAAAGCUGCUUCCCCCCUUCCCGAACAGGCCGGAGCCUCCGUCCGUGAGCAUCCGCAGGGCCGCGGGCUGUGAGCUGGCACAGACCCCCCGACUACUGGAGAUCCGCAUCCGGGGGAGCUGCUGCCCGCGGGAGGUGGGCUGUGAAACGGAGGUGUAACCUGUGCUGUUUCGCUGGUUUUCAGUUCUAUGAUCCAGGGAGCUCCAUCCUCGGCAGUGAAGAUCUCCAGGAGCCGUUCCUCUCGCUGCUGCUGGUGCUGACAGAUCGAUUUCUCCCUGGACCUGCAGAAUUGCAGCUUCUUGGACGAGAGCUGGCUGCUGCCGGUGAGAGCCCAUGGGAGCCGUCCUUCUGCCACCUGGCCCUCCCUGAAAAGUCACAGGAGGAAGACAAGGAACAGUUUGGAGGGGAGGGAUUGCCGCACACCCCGGGGUGAAUUGGCUCAGGCUCACCAGGAUGAGCAGAGCUGCCUCUGCUAUCGAGGCUGGAUCCUGCUGGUUACCUGCAGCAUCGCCAGGAGCAGAUCCCAGCAUUCCUGGGAGUAAAACCAAGCAAGAGAAGCACCCGGGCCUGAAUCUCUGAUAUAAGUGAAGUUUUCCCAUGCUCCCUUCCCUGAUUUCUUGCCAAAAAA